This 253-nucleotide ribosomal RNA is filed under the name uncultured bacterium. RNAcentral's name for it is "partial 16S ribosomal RNA". It matches the Rfam family "Bacterial small subunit ribosomal RNA", at positions 524 to 776 of the family's 1533-position model. The record is from RNAcentral.
UACGGGGGGGGCAAGCGUUGUUCGGAAUUACUGGGCGUAAAGGGCUCGUAGGUGGCCAACUAAGUCGGACGUGAAAUCCCUCGGCCUAACCGGGGAACUGCGUCCGAUACUGGUUGGCUUGAGUUUGGGAGAGGGAUGCGGAAUUCCAGGUGUAGCGGUGAAAUGCGUAGAUAUCUGGAGGAACACCGGUGGCGAAGGCGGCAUCCUGGACCAAUACUGACGCUGAGGAGCGAAAGCCAGGGGAGCAAACGGG